GAUGAACGCUGGCGGCGUGCCUAAUACAUGCAAGUCGAGCGAACAGACGAGGAGCUUGCUCCUCUGACGUUAGCGGCGGACGGGUGAGUAACACGUGGAUAACCUACCUAUAAGACUGGGAUAACUUCGGGAAACCGGAGCUAAUACCGGAUAAUAUAUUGAACCGCAUGGUUCAAUAGUGAAAGACGGUUUUGCUGUCACUUAUAGAUGGAUCCGCGCUGCAUUAGCUAGUUGGUAAGGUAACGGCUUACCAAGGCAACGAUGCGUAGCCGACCUGAGAGGGUGAUCGGCCACACUGGAACUGAGACACGGUCCAGACUCCUACGGGAGGCAGCAGUAGGGAAUCUUCCGCAAUGGGCGAAAGCCUGACGGAGCAACGCCGCGUGAGUGAUGAAGGUCUUCGGAUCGUAAAACUCUGUUAUUAGGGAAGAACAAAUGUGUAAGUAACUGUGCACUUCUUGACGGUACCUAAUCAGAAAGCCCCGGCUAACUACGUG
This 497-nucleotide ribosomal RNA is filed under the name uncultured bacterium. RNAcentral describes it as "partial 16S ribosomal RNA". It matches the Rfam family "Bacterial small subunit ribosomal RNA", at positions 28 to 507 of the family's 1533-position model. The record is from RNAcentral.